Molecule: unclassified non-coding RNA, 377 nt
Filed under: uncultured Oligoflexales bacterium
Lineage: Bacteria; Pseudomonadati; Bdellovibrionota; Oligoflexia; Oligoflexales
Description: contains 16S-23S intergenic spacer region
Source: RNAcentral
UCCGGUUUAACACCGGCGGUCUCCAUAGAGUGCCCAACUAAAUGAUGGCAACUAGGGAUAAGGGUUGCGCUCGUUAAGGGACUUAACCCGACAUCUCACGAUACGAGCUGACGACAGCCAUGCAGCACCUGUCUCCCGGCCUCCGAAGAGGAAACCCUAUCUCUAGGGCUAUCCGGGGAUGUCAAACCCAGGUAAGGUUCUUCGCGUUGCAUCGAAUUAAACCACAUGCUCCACCGCUUGUGCGGGCCCCCGUCAAUUCCUUUGAGUUUUAACCUUGCGGCCGUACUUCCCAGGCGGGGUACUUAAUGCGUUAGCUGCGGCACUGCAGGGGUCAAUUCCUGCAACACCUAGUACCCAUCGUUUACAGCGUGGACUAC